GAUACGUCGGGUUUGUGCCGUUAGACGAUGCUAGAUCGGAGGCGGGUAAAAUCCGGCAGGCGUGGAUUGAAAUUCCGGUGUUCUGAUUCGGAUCCUUCCGGUUUUGGGCGGUGAUUGUGUUCUUUUGAAGCGCCAUUGCCUUUCGAGCGUAAAUGCUGCAGUUCUGAAACACCACCGCCGCAUUCCCGAAGAUAAAAUCCACCGUCCCGUAGAUGUCGCAUUCUCGGUAAAAUUGGCGGUUUGAAUGAACGUACAGAGUGUCUUGAUACCCGAUUAUGUUGCAGCGGUACACCACCGCAUGAUCGGCGCCAACUCGAAGCGCAACCGCCUGGUGGCGCCCCGGUCCAGCCCAAUUCUCAAAUGUCAUGUCCCUCAAGAUUAUACCGGCGCCGGUGGCCGCAAACGACGCCGUGUGAAAAGUUGUCACAUUAUCAAAGACACUUUUAGCACCCGAAAUGACAGUUUUACCCUUGCCAUCCCCCACAAACAUGAGGUUCGUUUUCUUUCUCCCCACCUUCAGAUUUUUCUCUUCGUACCUUCCUGCCAUCACGUAUAUGAUCGUCCUUCUAUUACUGUACUGCGGCGCCUUUUUGAUCGCUUCGGCGAUCGUUUUCACCGUUCCGCUACCGUUCUGAGAAACCACAAUAUCGGCUUGUAACGCUCCCACCGGUAACGUCAGUAACCUCCUUUCUCUCCGACUCAUCCACCCAGGGAAUUUACCGGAAUUAUCCUCGUCGUGUCCGGCGUUCAUCAACCGUCGCUUGUUCUGAAUCGG
RNAcentral lists this unclassified non-coding RNA (775 nucleotides) under Hevea brasiliensis (rubber tree). The record is from RNAcentral. Lineage: Eukaryota; Viridiplantae; Streptophyta; Magnoliopsida; Malpighiales; Euphorbiaceae.